This 1438-nucleotide ribosomal RNA is filed under the name uncultured organism. Its description in RNAcentral is "SSU rRNA". It matches the Rfam family "Bacterial small subunit ribosomal RNA". The record is from RNAcentral.
CUUAACACAUGCAAGUCGAGGGGCAGCAUGGUCUUAGCUUGCUAAGGCCGAUGGCGACCGGCGCACGGGUGAGUAACACGUAUCCAACCUGCCGUCUACUCUUGGACAGCCUUCUGAAAGGAAGAUUAAUACAAGAUGGCAUCAUGAGUCCGCAUGUUCACAUGAUUAAAGGUAUUCCGGUAGACGAUGGGGAUGCGUUCCAUUAGAUAGUAGGCGGGGUAACGGCCCACCUAGUCUUCGAUGGAUAGGGGUUCUGAGAGGAAGGUCCCCCACAUUGGAGCUGAGACACGGUCCAAACUCCUACGGGAGGCAGCAGUGAGGAAUAUUGGUCAAUGGGCGAGAGCCUGAACCAGCCAAGUAGCGUGAAGGAUGACUGCCCUAUGGGUUGUAAACUUCUUUUAUAAAGGAAUAAAGUCGGGUAUGGAUACCCGUUUGCAUGUACUUUAUGAAUAAGGAUCGGCUAACUCCGUGCCAGCAGCCGCGGUAAUACGGAGGAUCCGAGCGUUAUCCGGAUUUAUUGGGUUUAAAGGGAGCGUAGAUGGAUGUUUAAGUCAGUUGUGAAAGUUUGCGGCUCAACCGUAAAAUUGCAGUUGAUACUGGAUAUCUUGAGUGCAGUUGAGGCAGGCGGAAUUCGUGGUGUAGCGGUGAAAUGCUUAGAUAUCACGAAGAACUCCGAUUGCGAAGGCAGCCUGUUAAGCUGCAACUGACAUUGAGGCUCGAAAGUGUGGGUAUCAAACAGGAUUAGAUACCCUGGUAGUCCACACGGUAAACGAUGAAUACUCGCUGUUUGCGAUAUACUGCAAGCGGCCAAGCGAAAGCGUUAAGUAUUCCACCUGGGGAGUACGCCGGCAACGGUGAAACUCAAAGGAAUUGACGGGGGCCCGCACAAGCGGAGGAACAUGUGGUUUAAUUCGAUGAUACGCGAGGAACCUUACCCGGGCUUAAAUUGCAGAUGAAUUACGGUGAAAGCCGUAAGCCGCAAGGCAUCUGUGAAGGUGCUGCAUGGUUGUCGUCAGCUCGUGCCGUGAGGUGUCGGCUUAAGUGCCAUAACGAGCGCAACCCUUGUUGUCAGUUACUAACAGGUUCCGCUGAGGACUCUGACAAGACUGCCAUCGUAAGAUGUGAGGAAGGUGGGGAUGACGUCAAAUCAGCACGGCCCUUACGUCCGGGGCUACACACGUGUUACAAUGGGGGGUACAGAGGGCCGCUACCACGCGAGUGGAUGCCAAUCCCCAAAACCUCUCUCAGUUCGGACUGGAGUCUGCAACCCGACUCCACGAAGCUGGAUUCGCUAGUAAUCGCGCAUCAGCCACGGCGCGGUGAAUACGUUCCCGGGCCUUGUACACACCGCCCGUCAAGCCAUGGGAGCCGGGGGUACCUGAAGUGCGUAACCGCGAGGAGCGCCCUAGGGUAAAACUGGUGACUGGGGCUAAGUCAU